CUUCUUUAUCUGUUGGCUGCCAUUUUUCUGGAACCGUUUACUUUUUUUCUUCUGUGACAUGAAACAACUCAUACGACUAGGUCGAGUUUGGGAAGGCAUUUACAAUACAUGUCUCAUAACCAACUGGCUCAGUAUCAUCUUAAAUCCUCUCCUCUUUAGCCUCAUGUCAUCUAAAUUCAGAAAAGCUUUAAAAAUGCUGUGGAAAACCAAAUUCAAAAGGCAGACUGAAAUCGUUUUAUCGUAAAAGUAAUUAGUAUAUUAUAUACGUGAAGAUAUGAUUAAUUUUUUAUGUUAUAUGUAGGCAUGUGCUAUAUUUUUCAUACUGUGCUGUAAAAUACUUGUACUUAUAAUAGGUAAAAGUUUAUUGUAAUAUAAAAACAUCAGAUGAAUCAAGAUAGUGUAGUGGGUAGACAUAUACUGUUAGAAAAAUAAACGAAGAUCAAGGCUAAUAAUAAUAA
Molecule: long non-coding RNA, 458 nt
Organism: Melitaea cinxia (Glanville fritillary)
Lineage: Eukaryota; Metazoa; Arthropoda; Insecta; Lepidoptera; Nymphalidae
Exons: 3
Source: RefSeq, a predicted model, not a curated record